GAAGGGAGCUUGCUCCUGGAUUCAGCGGCGGACGGGUGAGUAAUGCCUAGGAAUCUGCCUGGGAGUGGGGGACAACGUUUCGAAAGGAACGCUAAUACCGCAUACGUCCUACGGGAGAAAGCAGGGGACCUUCGGGCCUUGCGCUAUCAGAUGAGCCUAGGUCGGAUUAGCUAGUUGGUGAGGUAAUGGCUCACCAAGGCGACGAUCCGUAACUGGUCUGAGAGGAUGAUCAGUCACACUGGAACUGAGACACGGUCCAGACUCCUACGGGAGGCAGCAGUGGGGAAUAUUGGACAAUGGGCGAAAGCCUGAUCCAGCCAUGCCGCGUGUGUGAAGAAGGUCUUCGGAUUGUAAAGCACUUUAAGUUGGGAGGAAGGGUUGUAGAUUAAUACUCUGCAAUUUUGACGUUACCGACAGAAUAAGCACCGGCUAACUCUGUGCCAGCAGCCGCGGUAAUACAGAGGGUGCAAGCGUUAAUCGGAAUUACUGGGCGUAAAGCGCGCGUAGGUGGUUCGUUAAGUUGGAUGUGAAAUCCCCGGGCUCAACCUGGGAACUGCAUCCAAAACUGGCGAGCUAGAGUAUGGUAGAGGGUGGUGGAAUUUCCUGUGUAGCGGUGAAAUGCGUAGAUAUAGGAAGGAACACCAGUGGCGAAGGCGACCACCUGGACUGAUACUGACACUGAGGUGCGAAAGCGUGGGGAGCAAACAGGAUUAGAUACC
Molecule: ribosomal RNA, 719 nt
Filed under: Pseudomonas sp. RP2-b
Lineage: Bacteria; Pseudomonadati; Pseudomonadota; Gammaproteobacteria; Pseudomonadales; Pseudomonadaceae
Description: bacterial SSU rRNA
Rfam family: Bacterial small subunit ribosomal RNA
Source: RNAcentral